Molecule: long non-coding RNA, 291 nt
Organism: Corapipo altera (White-ruffed manakin)
Lineage: Eukaryota; Metazoa; Chordata; Aves; Passeriformes; Pipridae
Exons: 2
Source: RefSeq, a predicted model, not a curated record
UCUACAACCAAAUGUGCCAUCUCUCCAUGCUUCAAAAGCACAAGAGUCUGUAGGAGGUAGAUCACCAGCAUUUCAAAAUAUUUCACCUGUUAGUAGAGUACGAGGUACACCAGACACUUCUGAAUUAGCAAGAAUCUUACCUCAGAAAUACAGAAGGAAACAAAUGUCAGAUGAAGAGAUUGAAUAUAUUCAACGUGGAGGUCCAGAAUAAGUGUAGAAGAUAGUUUGCUGACCACUGCUGAAGAAUGAAGUACUAUAUUCACAAUAAAGGCAUUUCCUUAAUAUUAAAAA